UGGUGGGUAGUUUGACUGGGGCGGUCUCCUCCUAAAGAGUAACGGAGGAGCACGAAGGUUGGCUAAUCCUGGUCGGACAUCAGGAGGUUAGUGCAAUGGCAUAAGCCAGCUUGACUGCGAGCGUGACGGCGCGAGCAGGUGCGAAAGCAGGUCAUAGUGAUCCGGUGGUUCUGAAUGGAAGGGCCAUCGCUCAACGGAUAAAAGGUACUCCGGGGAUAACAGGCUGAUACCGCCCAAGAGUUCAUAUCGACGGCGGUGUUUGGCACCUCGAUGUCGGCUCAUCACAUCCUGGGGCUGAAGUAGGUCCCAAGGGUAUGGCUGUUCGCCAUUUAAAGUGGUACGCGAGCUGGGUUUAGAACGUCGUGAGACAGUUCGGUCCCUAUCUGCCGUGGGCGCUGGAGAACUGAGGGGGGCUGCUCCUAGUACGAGAGGACCGGAGUGGACGCAUCACUGGUGUUCGGGUUGUCAUGCCAAUGGCACUGCCCGGUAGCUACAUGCGGAAGAGAUAAGUGCUGAAAGCAUCUAAGCACGAAACUUGCCCCGAGAUGAGUUCUCCCUGAGACUUAGAGUCUCCUGAAGGAACGUUGAAGACGACGACGUUGAUAGGCCGGGUGUGUAAGCGCAGCGAUGCGUUGAGCUAACCGGUACUAAUGAACCGUGAGGCUUAACCUUACAACGCCGAAG
RNAcentral lists this ribosomal RNA (684 nucleotides) under Salmonella enterica subsp. enterica. RNAcentral describes it as "partial 23S ribosomal RNA". It matches the Rfam family "Bacterial large subunit ribosomal RNA", at positions 2259 to 2925 of the family's 2925-position model. RNAcentral also lists the same sequence under 1 other name. Lineage: Bacteria; Pseudomonadati; Pseudomonadota; Gammaproteobacteria; Enterobacterales; Enterobacteriaceae. The record is from RNAcentral.